Molecule: ribosomal RNA, 396 nt
Filed under: uncultured bacterium
Lineage: Bacteria
Description: partial 16S ribosomal RNA
Rfam family: Bacterial small subunit ribosomal RNA
Source: RNAcentral
AUACGUAGGUGGCGAGCGUUGUCCGGAAUUAUUGGGCGUAAAGAGCAUGUAGGCGGCUUAAUAAGUCGAGCGUGAAAAUGCGGGGCUCAACCCCGUAUGGCGCUGGAAACUGUUAGGCUUGAGUGCAGGAGAGGAAAGGGGAAUUCCCAGUGUAGCGGUGAAAUGCGUAGAUAUUGGGAGGAACACCAGUGGCGAAGGCGCCUUUCUGGACUGUGUCUGACGCUGAGAUGCGAAAGCCAGGGUAGCGAACGGGAUUAGAUACCCCGGUAGUCCUGGCCGUAAACGAUGGGUACUAGGUGUAGGAGGUAUCGACCCCUUCUGUGCCGGAGUUAACGCAAUAAGUACCCCGCCUGGGGAGUACGGCCGCAAGGUCGAAACUCAAAGGAAUUGACGGGG